Molecule: ribosomal RNA, 669 nt
Filed under: Coprinellus micaceus
Lineage: Eukaryota; Fungi; Basidiomycota; Agaricomycetes; Agaricales; Psathyrellaceae
Description: eukaryotic LSU rRNA
Rfam family: Eukaryotic large subunit ribosomal RNA
Source: RNAcentral
UUGACCUCAAAUCAGGUAGGACUACCCGCUGAACUUAAGCAUAUCAAUAAGCGGAGGAAAAGAAACUAACAAGGAUUCCCCUAGUAACUGCGAGUGAAGCGGGAAAAGCUCAAAUUUAAAAUCUGGCGGUCUUUGGCCGUCCGAGUUGUAAUCUAGAGAAGUGUUACCCGCGUCGGACCGUGUACAAGUCUCCUGGAAUGGAGCGUCAUAGAGGGUGAGAAUCCCGUCUUUGACACGGACUACCGAGGCUUUGUGGUGCGCUCUCAAAGAGUCGAGUUGUUUGGGAAUGCAGCUCAAAAUGGGUGGUAAAUUCCAUCUAAAGCUAAAUAUUGGCGAGAGACCGAUAGCGAACAAGUACCGUGAGGGAAAGAUGAAAAGAACUUUGGAAAGAGAGUUAAACAGUACGUGAAAUUGCUGAAAGGGAAACGCUUGAAGUCAGUCGCGUCCUCCGGGAAUCAGCCUUCCUUCUGGUUGGUGUACUUCCUGGUGGACGGGCCAGCAUCAGUUUUGACCGGUGGAAAAAGUUGGAGGGAAUGUGGCACCUUCGGGUGUGUUAUAGCCCUCUUUCGUAUACAUCGAUUGGGACUGAGGAACUCAGCACGCCGCAAGGCCGGGAUUCGUCCACGUUCGUGCUUAGGAUGCUGGCAUAAUGGCUUUAAUCGACCCGUC